This is a small nucleolar RNA of Acanthochromis polyacanthus (spiny chromis), 216 nucleotides long. Its record names the gene U3. It matches the Rfam family "Small nucleolar RNA U3". Rfam says of the family: Small nucleolar RNAs (snoRNAs) are involved in the processing and modification of rRNA in the nucleolus. NCBI's taxonomy places the organism in Eukaryota, Metazoa, Chordata, Actinopteri, Pomacentridae. The record is from Ensembl.
AAGACUGUACUUUCUGGGAUCAUUUCUAUAGUUUCUGACUUGAGAAAUGUGUUUCUAAAGUGUAUGGUCUCGCCAACCAUGAUGAUGAGUUGUGAUAUUCCCUUGUGAGCAUAAAGCUGACAGAGAAUAAUGAUUUUUUUCAUAUGUUUUCUGUUGUUGAUGAUUGUUCUUUACUUCCUUGUGGAGCAAUGAAGAAGGGCAUAUGUUCAGAGUAGA